Molecule: unclassified non-coding RNA, 640 nt
Filed under: Pythium sp. SR33
Lineage: Eukaryota; Oomycota; Peronosporomycetes; Pythiales; Pythiaceae
Description: partial contains ITS1, 5.8S rRNA and ITS2
Rfam family: 5.8S ribosomal RNA (bases 97-251)
Source: RNAcentral
CUGCUGUUAUGGUAGUCUGCCGAUGUACUUUUAAACCCAUUACACUAAUACUGAACUAUACUCCAAAAACGAAAGUAUUUGGUUUUAAUCAAUAACAACUUUCAGCAGUGGAUGUCUAGGCUCGCACAUCGAUGAAAAACGCUGCGAACUGCGAUACGUAAUGCGAAUUGCAAAAUUCAGUGAGACAUCGAAAUUUUGAACGCACAUUGCACUUUCGGGUUAUGCCUGGAAGUAUGCCUGUAUCAGUGUCCGUACAUCAAACUUGCCUUUCUUUUUUUGUGUAGUCAAGAAGAGAGAUGGCAAACUGUGAGGUGUCUCGCUGACUCCCUCCUCGGAGGAGAAGACGCGAGUCCCUUUAAAUGUACGUUCGCUCUUUCUUGUGUUUAAGAUGAAGUGUGACUUUCGAACGCAGUGAUCUGUUUGGAUCGCUUUGCUCGAGUGGGCGACUUCGGUUAGAACAUUAAAGGAAGCAACCUCUAUUGGCGGUAUGUUAGGCUUCGGCCCGACUUUGCAGCUGACGGUGUGUUGUUUUCUGUUCUUUCCUUGAGGUGUACCUGUCUUGUGUGAGGCAAUGGUCUGGGCAAAUGGUUGUUGUGUAGUAGGAGGUUGUUGCUCUUAGACGCUCUUCGGAGUAAAGAAG